GUGAAGAACGUAGCAAAAUGCGAUAAGUAAUGUGAAUUGCAGAAUUCAGUGAAUCAUCGAAUCUUUGAACGCACAUUGCGCCCGCCAGUAUUCUGGCGGGCAUGCCUGUUCGAGCGUCAUUUCAACCCUCAAGCCCUCGGGUUUGGUGUUGGGGAUCGGCGAGCCUUUCUGGCAAGCCGGCCCCGAAAUCUAGUGGCGGUCUCGCUGCAGCCUCCAUUGCGUAGUAGUAAAACCCUCGCAACUGGAACGCGGCGCGGCCAAGCCGUUAAACCCCCAACUUCUGAAUGUUGACCUCGGAUCAGGUAGGAAUACCCGCUGAACUUAAGCAUAUCAAUAAGCGGAGG
RNAcentral lists this unclassified non-coding RNA (344 nucleotides) under soil metagenome. RNAcentral's name for it is "partial contains 5.8S ribosomal RNA, internal transcribed spacer 2, and large subunit ribosomal RNA". The stretch from base 2 to 119 matches the Rfam family "5.8S ribosomal RNA", at positions 37 to 154 of the family's 154-position model. The record is from RNAcentral.